Molecule: ribosomal RNA, 882 nt
Filed under: Russula aff. laurocerasi VH-2016
Lineage: Eukaryota; Fungi; Basidiomycota; Agaricomycetes; Russulales; Russulaceae
Description: eukaryotic LSU rRNA
Rfam family: Eukaryotic large subunit ribosomal RNA
Source: RNAcentral
AUUCCCCUAGUAACUGCGAGUGAAGCGGGAAAAGCUCAAAUUUAAAAUCUGGUGGUCUUUGGCCAUCCGAGUUGUAAUUUAGAGAAGCGUCUUCCGCGCUGGACCAUGCACAAGUCUCCUGGAAUGGAGCGUCAUAGAGGGUGAGAAUCCCGUCUUUGGCAUGGACCCCCAGGGCUUCUGUGAUGCGCUCUCAAAGAGUCGAGUUGUUUGGGAAUGCAGCUCAAAAUGGGUGGUGAACUCCAUCUAAAGCUAAAUAUUGGCGAGAGACCGAUAGCGAACAAGUACCGUGAGGGAAAGAUGAAAAGCACUUUGGAAAGAGAGUGAAACAGUACGUGAAAUUGUUGAAAGGGAAACGCUUGAAGUCAGUCGCGUCGACCGAGACUCAGCCUUGCCUCGGCUUGGUGUACUUCUCGGCCCGACGGGUCAGCGUCAAUUUUGAUCCUUGGAUAAUGGCAAGGGAAAGGUAGCACCUUUACAGGUGUGUUAUAGUCCUCUGUCGGAUGCAAGGGUUGGGAUUGAGGAAUUCAGCACGCACCUCAUCGGUGUCGGGGCCUCGGCCUACGUUACGUGCUUAGGAUGCUGGCAUAAUGGCUUUAAACGACCCGUCUUGAAACACGGACCAAGGAGUCUAACAUGCACGCGAGUGUUCGGGUGGAAAACCCGUGCGCGUAAUGAAAGUAAAAGUUGGGACCUCUGUCGUGGAGGGCACCGACGCCCGGACCAGACCUUCUGUGACGGCUCUGCGGUAGAGCGUGUAUGUUGGGACCCGAAAGAUGGUGAACUAUGCCUGAAUAGGGUGAAGCCAGAGGAAACUCUGGUGGAGGCUCGUAGCGAUUCUGACGUGCAAAUCGAUCGUCAAAUUUGGGUAUAGGGGCGAAAGAC